Molecule: ribosomal RNA, 533 nt
Filed under: uncultured bacterium
Lineage: Bacteria
Description: bacterial SSU rRNA
Rfam family: Bacterial small subunit ribosomal RNA
Source: RNAcentral
CCUACGGGAGGCAGCUGUGGGGAAUUUUGGACAAUGGACGCAAGUCUGAUCCAGCCAUUCCGCGUGCAGGAUCAAGGCCCUCGGGUUGUAAACUGCUAUUGUACGGAACGAAAAGGUUUCUAUUAAUACUAGGAGCUCAUGACGGUACCGUAAGAAUAAGCACCGGCUAACUACGUGCCAGCAGCCGCGGAAAUACGUAGGGUGCAAGCGUUAAUGGGAAUUACUGGGCGUAAAGCGUGCGCAGGCGGUUAUGUAAGACAGAGGUGAAAUGCCCGGGCUCAACCUGGGAACUGCCUUUGUGACUGCAUAGCUAGAGUACGGUAGAGGGGGAUGGAAUUCCGCGUGUAGCAGUGAAAUGCGUAGAUAUGCGGAGGAACACGGAUGGCGAAGGCAAUCCCCUGGACCUGUACUGACGCUCAUGCACCAAAGCGUGGGGAGCAAACAGGAUUAGAUACCCUGGUAGUCCACGCCCUAAACGAUGUCAACUGGUUGUUGGGUCUUCACUGACUCAGUAACGAAGCUAACGCGUGAAG